UUGGUCUUCCGAAACAAAUGGAUGUGUGAUAGCAGCCUUACACGCUUUCUUUCUUCUGAUUCCUAUUUAAUUAUUUCAGAAUCAGAAAUGUUUAUGCCAAGCGGAUGAUAAAUGAAAUAUCUUGUACCUCAUGAAAUGGCAACAGACAGAAUGGCUUACCCUAAAGAUAAUCAAAUAAAUAUCUAAUAUGACUACUCUACAAGGAAUAAUGACAUGUCCCCCCCCAUUUGUGUUCGUGCAGUGCAACUGGUAACACAUCCCGCUAGCAGUUGGAAGAUUAUAAUUUGAAUCACGAAUUGUACAUCUUACUGUGGAGACUAUUAAAUAGCAGCCAGAUAUAAAAGAUGGCACUACCAGAUCUCUUUCUCUCGUCCAGUAAGGAAGAUAAUUUCUGAAUGGCCCUCGACAGAAGGCCCAAUAGCGGCCGAGCGGCAAAAAAAGCUACUAAACACUUAUAGUACAGCCCGGGGUUCGAGUCCUGGUGAACGAGCUGGCUGCAUGGGCGUUCUUGUGAUUUUUCCCAUGUGGAUAUGAGCCAGUUUCCCUUAAUAAGUUCUCCACAAGGCAUCCUUCCCUUUUCACGUGGUGCCAAAAGGCGAAGUACAUAAUAAAUAAAUAAUAAAUGAAGACAGUCGACAGAUCAUCUCUGGAAGCCAUCGAAUUAACCUCGCUCAUAUCGUCCAAGGGAAGCAUCGUCAUCAGACGUGAGGGAAUUAACCUCGCGUAGUACCGGCUGAUUUUCCUGUUAUCUAACAUGCUUGUUAUUAAUGUGGAUUGCCGCCUGCGAUUAUUCUUUGGUAGUGUAGAGGGACUUAUAUCUGAUGUUUGCUUUUGUUAUCUGUGUAUAUAUGUGAUAAAAUUGUAUAUUUUCUAAUCUCAUUUAAAAUAAUAGUUGUAAAAUGCAGGCAGAUCAUCUUUAUCUCUGCACGAACACAUGCCUCUGCAGAAUGAUGACUCUACCAAAAUAAAACGCAGUACUGUCAUUCAAAAUCCAACAACACGGAAAUUCUGAAAAUAGCUCAAGUAAAACUUGAGAUAGAAAUAGAAACACUGGUGACAUUUGGCGAUUUCUCGCCUACUUGAUGAGUUUCAAGAAAUUUCAGGAAAAACGCAUUUUCGAGCUCCAGGAGCUAUUUUCCCCGAAGCUUUUUGCACAAUAGCAGGCCUGUUGUCGGUGAGUAUUCUAGACAGUGAGUAUUCUAGACUGUCAGCCGCUCACAUACAAAUUAAAAUUGGUAGCCCUUUUUUACAGAAACAUAAUAUAUUUUAUAAUCAUUUCGCUGCCCUUAAAUUUGGCCGCCUCACGUGCUGUGCACCAUCUUGCCCCACUCUAGGAUCGGUCCUGGUGCAGAGAGCAGAUAGCACCGUAUGAAAACGGCUCCGAUAACCAGUAGUCAAACAGUUAUUCAUUAGGUCCGUGUGAUUUCAGAGAAAUUGAGGUUCAAAUAGAGUUAGAUGAACUGUUUUGAUAAUUCUACUGUGUUUUCUUCUAAAAGUGCCUAUAGCUUAUUCUUUACGCCUUUCAAUUUUUGAACUAUACUCUUAAUUUUUACCUGCUUUCUUUUAGAUUUAUUAACACUUUAUUUUUCGAAGUUAAGCUAGGCUUAACGGGCGAUGUUUGUUUACAACUGAACUUUUGAGUGUAAACGUAUUGUGUGCGCCAUUUUGAUGUCUUUCUAUUCGUUGAUGAACUCUAGAGUUUUGUUUGCUCUGUGAGUGAUUUUGUUAAUCUAUGACAUUUCUUGUAUAUUAAGUAGAAUUUGCUUAUUUUCUGCCUUCUCCUAGAGUUAUUUACAACUGUUACUUUUGUUGUGUACUGUGGUUAAUAAUAAUAAAUGUUCACGUUUUCUUCUCUCCAUCAGAG
RNAcentral lists this long non-coding RNA (1864 nucleotides) under Stegodyphus dumicola. RNAcentral describes it as "uncharacterized LOC118182273, transcript variant X1". Lineage: Eukaryota; Metazoa; Arthropoda; Arachnida; Araneae; Eresidae. The record is from RNAcentral.